Molecule: ribosomal RNA, 369 nt
Filed under: uncultured organism
Description: partial 16S ribosomal RNA
Rfam family: Bacterial small subunit ribosomal RNA
Source: RNAcentral
GUAGGUGGCAAGCGUUGUCCGGAAUUAUUGGGCGUAAAGCGCGCGCAGGCGGUUCUUUAAGUCUGAUGUGAAAGCCCACGGCUCAACCGUGGAGGGUCAUUGGAAACUGGAGAACUUGAGUACAGAAGAGGAAAGCGGAAUUCCACGUGUAGCGGUGAAAUGCGUAGAGAUGUGGAGGAACACCAGUGGCGAAGGCGGCUUUCUGGUCUGUAACUGACGCUGAGGCGCGAAAGCGUGGGGAGCAAACAGGGAUUAGAUACCCUGGUAGUCCACGCGUAAACGAUGAGUGCUAAGUGUUAGGGGGUUUCGCCCCCUUAGUGCUGCAGCUAACGCAUUAAGCACUCGCGUGGGGAUACGGCCGCAAGGCUG